Molecule: ribosomal RNA, 444 nt
Filed under: Ophicardelus ornatus
Lineage: Eukaryota; Metazoa; Mollusca; Gastropoda; Ellobiida; Ellobiidae
Description: eukaryotic LSU rRNA
Rfam family: Eukaryotic large subunit ribosomal RNA
Source: RNAcentral
GCCAAGGGAACGGGCUUGGUAGAAUCAGCGGGGAAAGAAGACCCUGUUGAGCUUGACUCUAGUCCGACUUUGUGAAGACACAUGAAGGGUGUAGCAUAGGUGGGAGCGAAGCGCAAUUGAAAUACCACUACUUUUAUCGUUUCUUUACUUAUUCAGUGAAGCGGAGAGCGGGGCGCAAGCCCCUCGCUUCUGGAGUUAAGCGGCUUAGGCGCUCGUCGCCGGCCGCGUCCGCUCUGAAGACAGUGUCAGGCGGGGAGUUUGACUGGGGCGGUACAUCUGUCAAAAGGUAACGCAGGUGUCCUAAGGCGAGCUCAGCGAGGACGGAAACCUCGCGUAGAGCAAAAGGGCAAAAGCUCGCUUGAUUUUGAUUUUCAGUACGAAUACAGACCGUGAAAGCGUGGCCUAUCGAUCCUUUUGACUUUAAGAGUUUAAGCAAGAGGUGUC